This is a long non-coding RNA of Papaver somniferum (opium poppy), 1077 nucleotides long. RefSeq lists it as uncharacterized. The record is from RefSeq and is a predicted model, not a curated record. The transcript has 2 exons. Lineage: Eukaryota; Viridiplantae; Streptophyta; Magnoliopsida; Ranunculales; Papaveraceae.
UUAUUCUCACCUAUGGAAACUUGUCGUUUCACUUUCGCUUCUGUUUCAGAAUAAGAUCUAAAUUCUUAUCUCUUCCAGCGGCUAUCAUCACCACCACCGUUUCUACUUUCUCUGCCUCUUUCAGCCAUCACCCUCACCACCUUUACCUCUGCCAUUACCGCCGCUACCACCUAUGUCGCCACGAACAAUUGUCCACCUAAGAAAAUUGAAUCCGUAUUUGUUCUUUUGUUCAUCAUUACCUUCUAAAUCUGAAGAUCUAAAAAGUAAUAAGGCGAAUUCAUUUUUGUUUUUUUUGGAUUUUGUCGAUGAAGAUUUAGAGGGGUUUUUAGAACAAAUAUGAAGAUCUAAUCCAUCUGAAGAUGUAAUCCAUCUGUUUUGGGAUUUGAUCCGGAAAGGGAUGAUUCGUCCAACUUCACCAGAGAAAAGAUUUGGGAACUACUACAUUGGGGAUUUUGUAUGUAUCAGGUACUGAAAUCACCAACAAAGCAUGGUAUUAAUAAUUUAUGGGAUCAACUCCUACUGUUGAUACCAUUUUUAUGGGAUCAACUAUUGUGGUUGAUCCAACAAAUGGGAUCAACUCCUAUUGUUUACUCAAUUUUUAUGGGAUCAACUAUUGUUGUUGACAGCAUUUCCUUGGAUAGUCUAAUUAUGCAUGUAGUUUAAAUGCUUAGAUUUUUAUAGAUGUAAAUUCUUCAAAAUGUUGAAUUUAUGGUGCAAUGGUAGCAUGACUAAUUCCACGUCAGAUGAUGCGUGUUCGGCUCACACCAAAUUCACGCAUUCGUAUAUGUCAUUUUGUAUCAAACUUUGGUUGCUUCAGGCCAUAGAUGGUUGUUCCAGAGAUUAUAUUUUGCAAUUGUCAGAUAACCAUUCGGAUUUGAGAUUUUUGAUUCACUGCUCUAGCAUGAAAGGGCUUGACGUGUUGAAUUUGAUUCACUACAACUUUUUUGCAUCUUUUUUAGGUUUCAUACUUGUUGGAUGUUUCUUUUUUUUUUUUUUUUAUGUUUUUUUGGUUUGGAGUUGUUAUGUUUUGUAACGACAUACAUUCUAAUUUGUUUUUAUGAAUGUUUUUCUUGUGUU